GACGAACGCUGGCGGCGUGCUUAACACAUGCAAGUCGAGCGGUAAGGCCCUUUCGGGGGUACACGAGCGGCGAACGGGUGAGUAACACGUGGGUGACCUGCCCUCAGCUCUGGGAUAAGCCUGGGAAACCGGGUCUAAUACUGGAUAUGACUCCAUGACGCAUGUUGUGGGGUGGAAAGCCUUGUGCGGCUGAGGAUGGGCCCGCGGCCUAUCAGCUUGUUGGUGGGGUGAGGCCUACCAAGGCGACGACGGGUAGCCGGCCUGAGAGGGCGACCGGCCACACUGGGACUGAGACACGGCCCAGACUCCUACGGGAGGCAGCAGUGGGGAAUCUUGCGCAAUGGGCGAAAGCCUGACGCAGCGACGCCGCGUGAGGGAUGACGGCCUGGUUAGUAACUAC
This 400-nucleotide ribosomal RNA is filed under the name uncultured bacterium. RNAcentral's name for it is "bacterial SSU rRNA". It matches the Rfam family "Bacterial small subunit ribosomal RNA", at positions 28 to 433 of the family's 1533-position model. The record is from RNAcentral.